This 650-nucleotide ribosomal RNA is filed under the name uncultured bacterium. RNAcentral describes it as "bacterial SSU rRNA". It matches the Rfam family "Bacterial small subunit ribosomal RNA", at positions 54 to 749 of the family's 1533-position model. The record is from RNAcentral.
CAUGCAAGUCGAACGAAGUCUUCGGACUUAGUGGCGCACGGGUGAGUAACGCGUAGGAAUCUACCUAUUAGUUCGGGAUAACAGCGGGAAACUGCUGCUAAUACCGGAUACGCCCCUCACGGGGGAAAGAAUUUCGCUAAUAGAUGAGCCUGCGUAGCAUUAGCUAGUUGGUAGGGUAAUGGCCUACCAAGGCUACGAUGCUUAGCUGGUCUGAGAGGAUGAUCAGCCACACUGGGACUGAGACACGGCCCAGACUCCUACGGGAGGCAGCAGUGGGGAAUAUUGGGCAAUGGGCGCAAGCCUGACCCAGCCAUGCCGCGUGAGUGAUGACGGCCUUAGGGUUGUAAAGCUCUUUCAGUAGUGACGAUGAUGACAGUAGCUACAGAAGAAGCCCCGGCUAACUUCGUGCCAGCAGCCGCGGUAAUACGAAGGGGGCUAGCGUUGUUCGGAUUUACUGGGCGUAAAGGGCACGCAGGCGGCUUGACAAGUUGGGGGUGAAAUCCCGGGGCUUAACCCCGGAACUGCCUUCAAAACUGUUAGGCUAGAGAUCGAGAGAGGUGAGUGGAAUUCCUAGUGUAGAGGUGAAAUUCGUAGAUAUCANGAGGAACACCGGUGGCGAAGGCGGAUCUCUGGGCCAUUACUGACGCUGA